Molecule: long non-coding RNA, 360 nt
Filed under: Vitis vinifera (wine grape)
Lineage: Eukaryota; Viridiplantae; Streptophyta; Magnoliopsida; Vitales; Vitaceae
Description: long non-coding RNA (VVIN_LNC004975)
Source: RNAcentral
UUCACAUUAUUAUAAUUACAUGUUUAUGUGUUUGGUUGAUUUUAAAUUAGUUCUUGAUUGUUUAUCUCAAUUUAUGUGUCUGAUUGAUCCUUAUAAAUUCCCGAUUAAUAUUUCGUUAGUUUUAUUUGAUCUAAAAGUCAUUUGGUUUGUUGCUUUGGUGAAUAUUUAUUAAAUUUGACUUUUAGAGGCCAUUGGAAAAUCAUGAAGAUUGGCCUCUACCAUCACCAUUAUCAUUUUUGUUAAUUACUAAAAAAGUUUACUUUGAGGUUUCGUUUUUGUUUUGUUUGGUAUUUUAUUUCUUAUAUUUUAUUUUUUCCCAAAUUAAUUCCUUUUAUUUUAAAAUAAAAUACUUUUCCCAAA